This 840-nucleotide long non-coding RNA is filed under the name Coturnix japonica (Japanese quail). RNAcentral describes it as "lncRNA (ENSCJPG00005014913.1)". Lineage: Eukaryota; Metazoa; Chordata; Aves; Galliformes; Phasianidae. The record is from RNAcentral.
GAAAAGCUAAGAAAGCACAUUACUUUCCCAGAAAGCCAAGAAACUACAAUUUGCCAGGAUGCAAAAUGCUAUACAAAUGUCUGUACGUAUCAGAAAAGUUGAGAAGUAAAUUUUGGGGAGGAAAUGAAGUUGCUGAAUCAUCAUGGUAACGAGAAUUAAGUGGUAGCUGAUGGAAAAGGAAGGCAGUUUAAGCAUUUGGGAAAAUUUGGAAGACUGGAACUUAAAAGCAGAAGCACAUCUGAAGAAGAAUAGGCACAUCUCUGUCCCAAAUCUUUACCAUGAUGACCAGACAGUAAUGAGGAUGCUUCACACAUUUGUAAGUAAGGCAUAGUUUACUUGUUAGACAGUCAGUCCUGGAAAUAUUCCCACAAGAACAUCCUUAUUGUAUCUUUAUUCUAAUGAUAAAGUGUUGGAGGAGUGAGAGUAUUAAAAUGUAGGAAUUUGCUUAUGUGUCUUAAAGGUCUAAGUAAACAGUUCAGUGUAUUUUCCGAAAGGUGCAACAAUGCUAAAUGAUAUGAAUUUCUGCUGCUGAGAGAUUGCCUGUUUUCUAUAAGUACCACUCAUUCUCUUGCAAGGAGUUCUAAGUUCUACUGAUAUACUGGAAAAUCUAACUGAUGCCAAAAUGUAAAUCUUGUCAUUUCAUGUUUACAUGCAAAUUCUUUUCUAUGUCAUCCUCUGCCAAAUCUAAAUUCUAAGAACCUAAUAGUAAAAUGCCUUCUACAAUCUACAUAUAAUCCUUUUUGCAUAGUUCCUGUGUGUGUGAGUGGGGAAUUUCCACUGAAAUUUAUUUUAAUUAUUAACUUUUCUAUGAAAGCUCAUGAAAACAGGCACAGCUGACAU